Long non-coding RNA from Neltuma alba, 463 nucleotides. RefSeq lists it as uncharacterized. The record is from RefSeq and is a predicted model, not a curated record. The transcript has 2 exons. NCBI's taxonomy places the organism in Eukaryota, Viridiplantae, Streptophyta, Magnoliopsida, Fabales, Fabaceae.
GUUCAGGCUAGUGGAGAUUACAAUGCAAAACUUGGCGUCACAAUUCUUGGUGAAUCUGUUAUUGUAGAAGACGAGGUUGUGGUUGUUAAUAGCAUCGUUCUUCCUCACAAGACCCUAAAUGUGGGUGUUCAAGAUGAGAUACUCUUAUAGGUCCUCCUCACAAGACUCUGUUUGAUUCCUUAUAGUUGUAUUUGCUUUUUAUUAUUGUUAUUAUUACUAGUGGGUGACAGUUCCAUGUUGGAAGCCAAGGACAGAAAAUGUAGCGUGCUAUUUAUUGCGUUUGUAAAGUGACCUUUAUUGAUCAAGCUGUUGGUUGAUGAGCAUGGACACUACUAAUUGGUGUUCUAAAAAAGUGCACUGUGCUAUGCCGUUUAAAUUCUCCAAACCAGUAUCCCCGAGAAAACCGUUUUCCCAGAGAAAUGUAAUUAAUAGCUGUUAUAAUAACCCCUUUGGUUAUUAAUUU